UAGUGAUUUACUCAUGGAUUAAUUUAAUCGAGAAAUUGCCUAUUUACUCAACAAUCCACGCCAAGCGCGUCACCAUCAUGCCCAAGGACAUCCAGCUCGCCCGCCGCAUCCGCGGGGAGCGCGCUUAGGUUUUCGGUCGCCGCCGGUGAUGCUGGAUGGUUGCUGUUCCUGUCUGCUGAUCAGGAUGUGUGCCCGGUGCUUGUGUUCGUUGGUGUUGAUAUGAUGUGUCCUCUUGUCCCAUGUAUCCUGAUGCUGCAAUGAGAUGGCAAUGGAAAGUUCAGUUAUCAUCUAAUGCUCUGUUUGUCCUCCAAUGCCUCUGCUUUCUGCUUGACUGCUUUGUGAAUUUUCAAUGGCGCACCUGAAAACGUAGCACGGUUCUGCAGUGAUUGGGUUGAACAAUGGAUGAUGCAGUGUCCGUCGAUUUUGUGGUUUUGCCAGUUAUUUUUGUUUGCUAGCUAUGUGGUUCGGUGUGUCUGCACCUUUUUUCCCCAUGUCUGUACAGUGAUUUGAUGAACGCAUUUGGGCUUUUGGAUCUAUGUGAAGUGAUUUUGAAUUAUGUUUGGGUUAGCUAGCUAGCUGAAGUUGAAGAAGUGACAGAUUUUGAAUUCUGUUCUCUGUACAUUUGGUCGUUACUGCAUUCAGUUUUAGGAUAAUCAUCACACUACUGACUCAAUAUCUACCUAACCUUUGGUGCUUUUUUUUGCGGGGGACCUAAACUUUGGUGCUUGCAGUGCAAUUGAUAUGCCAAUUGUGUUGUGUUAUCUUCCAUAGCCCCAUUUGUGCUUGCAGUGCAAAUGAAGACACCAUAUACUGUCAGGUUUCUUUCAAGCUCAGGUGGUGUGGUAUCUGAUUGCGUGAAGUAUCUGAAAUUCAUAAUUCAUCGAUGAAGACAUCUGUAUGCGGCUGCAGAGAGUGCUAUUCUAUCAGCAAAUAACAGGAGCUUCCAGGCAGGAAGAGAAGGAGAUGAAAGGGGGAUUCCUGCUCUGUUGAAACCAUCGCUGGGCAAAUGCGGCACCGAGCAGGGGAAUAUUUCCUCGGAUUUCACAAAGGUUUCCAUGGAGGUACAGAAAGCGAGGUUCAAACAAUUCAGUGCAGCAGCAGCAACACCUCCAAGGUGAGAAAUAGGUUCCUAUUUAUCCUUCUUUGCUAGCUGUGUUCCUCUGCUGGGCAUCGACCAUGAUCUCCAUGUCGCCACUAAGGCCAUGGCUCCUGGGAUCGAGGACGCUGGGCUCGCAUGGUCUAGGCCACUAUUGAUUUGUUUCUCUUGGUUUAUGGCCUCUUUCGCCUAUGGUCGGAUCUGCGCGUCCGCGUCCACAGGAGGACUAGGAUCUGGCUGUGCUCCACGACUAUCACAACCAAGCCGGGGAGCACCAGAGAUCACAACUUGAAAAUUUUAACUGCAAUAUUUGUUGGUCAGUGUCCUCAUCUGAAAUUGUUCGUAAGGUAGUGCUUUAUUCUGUAUAGCAUCCUUGGAAGAUUGUGUGGUGUGAUGCUUGGGUGUAGAGCCUUUUUUGUUAUUCUGUAUAGCAAAGGGAAAUAGCCUCAGGCCCUCAGUUUGGUAUAGCAAUGGGGGUGAUCCUUCGUUGGAAGAAACAUUGGUGUGAAACAGAUAGACUUACUGUUUUUUCAUACUAUACUAGCAUAGUGUUGGUUGUUAAUUUUAAGUGUAUCAGCAGUUUUUUCAGCCAAUGAAGUUAUGCUCACGACAUGGAGAACUUCAAGGACAACCUGCCUGAACAGUUUCUACCUGAUUAGUGAACUAGGCCAUUUACUAUACAAAUAGUUAUUUUGUUGCAAGUUACGCUGUUGCUUCUAAAUACUACACUUUUGGUUGUAUUUAGCAACUAAGAAUGACACAAGCAGCCGCUAAAACAUUCGAGCAAUGCCCAAGGUUAGUACAGGAAGCAUAGUUGUUUGCUUUAGUAGAAAUUAUAUUCCUUUUUUCCACUACUGUGAACAUGGACGUGAGUAGGUAAUUGCUCCUAAAAGAAACCUAAUUAAUGUAUUGUUGAACCUAAUUUUGAGAUGAUUUUUAUUCUGCCAUUGUACAGUGCACAUUAGCAUCGUCUAAAUACACAUGUCUCUGGGGUUUCUUUUUGGUGGCAAAUUGAUUCUUGCAAUCAUGGUGGAAAGGCCAGCAAUAAGGCACUCUACACUGAUGAAAUUUGCAUAAGUAUUCCUCUUUGUGAUAAGAUUUCACCAAAAGUUUCAACAUUAAGAUGUUUACUUAGUUAAAUCCUGAACUGAGGCACCCACCCAUACAUGUAUAAGCUCCAAAAAAUAAAACAAUUUGCAAAGAAUUUUUCAGCUUUCGGGCUAUAAGCGUUAGACAUUUUCAUAAGAAAUGCUGAAUGUUAGUAUCAAUUGAAUCAAUUUGACCUUACACGCAGUGCAGGUAUUGUUAAAUCUGUAGUUGUAAUUUAUUCACCUGUAACUUGAUUUUCUUUUCACUUCUCUUUUUAUAAAUUCAUGUAGUCGGCUAUAAUAAUGAUAUUUUUUUCUUUUGAGAGAGAAAUUGUGUGUCUGCUCUGGUUUUAGUUUUAACGUCAGCUCGUUACAAUCCGUAACUACUUGUAGACUACUUCAUCCGGAUGGGUUUGCAACUUUGUGUACAGACUGCUUCAACACUUCUAUUUUCUAUAGGACUUGGAUUAAUAAUCUCCAACAAUAUGGUCAUGCUUCUUAUAUUUACUUUCAGUUCUAAAUACAUUUAUGUUUUUCUCUAUGUUGUACUACUAAACUAUGUGUGCUAAAGUAAACAUAAAAAUAUGACGGGGUGGUGGUUUCAGCCAUAGAAAGAAUUGAUUUGGAGAACAAAGGGAAUUUUCGGCGGACGAAGAACUCGCUCGAGAUGCUCCAGUGAUGAUUUUAUAUAGCGUUUUAUCUAAACCUGGGUUCCUUCUUUCAGAUUGGGCGGUGCCCUAUGAUGUGAAGCCGGUGUAAUAACUUUUUCAUUUGGCAUCGGUGGUGAUGUGACAACCUUUUAGACAAUUUGGCACCUGUAACACAGUGGAAGACCUCAUACGAGCUGGUUGCCUUCCUGGUAGUUGUUGCGGGUUUUGAAUUAAGUGUACAACUAUGUUUAAAACGCCAUGAUCAGAAGCUGUGGUGGGUGUACAGAUUGACUCUUAUUACAUGACUAUUCCUAAGAUUGAUUCUGAUUGGGUUAAGGGCAUGUGAUUUUGUUC
Triticum aestivum (bread wheat) is the source of this 3188-nucleotide RNA transcript. RefSeq lists it as uncharacterized. The record is from RefSeq and is a predicted model, not a curated record. The transcript is spliced from 3 exons. Lineage: Eukaryota; Viridiplantae; Streptophyta; Magnoliopsida; Poales; Poaceae.